UACGUAGGGGGCAAGCGUUGUCCGGAUUUAUUGGGCGUAAAGAGCGUGUAGGCGGUUAGGUAGGUCCGUUGUGAAAACUCGAGGCUCAACCUCGAGACGCCGAUGGAAACCCCCUAACUAGAGUCCGGAAGAGGAGAGUGGAAUUCCUGGUGUAGCGGUGAGAUGCGCAGAUAUCAGGAAGAACACCCGUGGCUAAGGCGGCUCUCUAGUACGGUACUGACGCUGAGACGCGAAAGCGUGGGGAGCGAACAGG
This 253-nucleotide ribosomal RNA is filed under the name uncultured bacterium. RNAcentral's name for it is "partial 16S ribosomal RNA". It matches the Rfam family "Bacterial small subunit ribosomal RNA", at positions 524 to 776 of the family's 1533-position model. The record is from RNAcentral.